RNAcentral lists this ribosomal RNA (497 nucleotides) under uncultured bacterium. RNAcentral's name for it is "partial 16S ribosomal RNA". It matches the Rfam family "Bacterial small subunit ribosomal RNA", at positions 28 to 507 of the family's 1533-position model. The record is from RNAcentral.
GAUGAACGCUGGCGGCGUGCCUAAUACAUGCAAGUCGAGCGAACAGACGAGUAGCUUGCUCCUCUGACGGUAGCGGCGGACGGGUGAGUAACACGUGGAUAACCUACCUAUAAGACUGGGAUAACUUCGGGAAACCUGAGCUAAGACCGGCGAAUAUAGUGAACCGCAUGGUUCAAUAGUUAUAGACGGGUUGGCUGUCACUCAUACAUGGAGCCUCGCCGCAUUAGAUGGUUGUUAAGGUAACGGCCUACGAAGGCAACGAUGCGUAGCCGACCUGAGAGGGUGGUAGGCGACACUGGAGCGGAGACACGCUCCAGACUACUGAGGGACGGACCAGUAGGCAACGUGAGGCAGUGGGCGAGAGUAUGACGGAGCAAGGGGGAGCCAGUGGUGGCGAUCUCCGGAUCGUGAAGAUCUGUUAUUAGGGAAGAACCAAUGUGUACGUAGAUGAGGAGGAAUUGACGGUACCUAAUGAAGAAGCACCGGCUAACUACGUG